This 809-nucleotide long non-coding RNA is filed under the name Oryzias sinensis (Chinese medaka). RNAcentral's name for it is "lncRNA (ENSOSIG00000022225.1)". Lineage: Eukaryota; Metazoa; Chordata; Actinopteri; Beloniformes; Adrianichthyidae. The record is from RNAcentral.
GAAAAUGUUGGCAGAAGCUGACCUAAAGUCUGCAUUCAAGGGAAAUUGCAUGCACAAAGGAUGAGGAGCAACCAUAAGCCUCCAGAUGGAGACAUGGGUGGGUGGUUGGAAGGCUGGUAGAUGACUGAACUUGGAGACCCUGCACAGCUCAUCAUCAUUGCCAGGGGCUCUCGUCUUUUUCCUCCCCUCCCAUGGCUCGCACCUCCAUCCUGGAGUCCAGCAGAGUCAGUGAAGCCCAGGCGGGCAGCGAUGUGUGGCUUAGGGGGGCAGCAAAGCUCCAAAGGACAGGCCCUGCACGACUCCUUCAGCUGCAGCCCCUGCUCGUCUCUGGACCUCAGUCGCCGUCUCCGCUGGCUGUGUGUGGUUCUGCUGCAGGGGGUUUCUCCCCAAACGAUGCCAACAGUGCCGAAAGACUGCUGAGAGGGAUUUUCUUUUCCCUUUGUUUUUAUUCCCCCCCCCCCCCCCCAUUUGGAGAGUUCCCCCCCCCCCCCCCUUCCUGCUGCCUCUGGCUGUUUGAAGCUAGCUUGGGAGUUCUGCUUUUGACUCACUUUACAUCAUCAACUCAUCUGCCGUUUACCGUCUACCCCCCUCCCCACCCUCAACUAGUUUUUACAUCUGAUAAACAGACACAACUAUCUUUUAUUUUCUAUUCCGCUCUUUGCUUGAAGUGGAAGAAGCGGAGCAGAUGCUCCUCUCUGGACUGUGUCAAAGCCAUAAAUAAUGGCAGACAACACAUCACUUAUUAUUUUUUUUUUUUUUGCUCUUUAACGUUUUUAUUCAGUUUUGAACAUUGGAGGGAAAAAAGGUGA